Molecule: ribosomal RNA, 872 nt
Filed under: Gastraspis sp. ZJUH_2016016
Lineage: Eukaryota; Metazoa; Arthropoda; Insecta; Hymenoptera; Figitidae
Description: 12S ribosomal RNA
Source: RNAcentral
AGGAAUUUAAUUUAUAUUUAAAAUUAAUUUAUAAAAUUAAAUUAAAUAUAUUAAUAUUUUUAUGUAAAUUAGUUAAAUUAAUUAAUCAAAGUAUUUAAUAAAAAAAAUUAAUUAUAAAAGCAAUUUUUAAUUUGUAAAAUUUUUUAAUUAUAAAUGAAUAGAGUGCCAGCAAUAGCGGUUAAACUUUAUAUAAAAAAUUAAUAUUAAUUAUUAUUAAUUAAGUAAAAAAUUAGGUUAGUAAAAAAUUAUUUAAGAUUAUUUAAUUAGUUAGUAAAAUAAUAAAUUAAAAUUUUAAAAUAUUAUUUAGAAUAUUAAUAUAACUGAAAUUAAUUAAAAUUAUUAAUAAAUUAGGAUUAGAUACCCUAUUAUUAAAAGUAAAGUUAAAUAUUUUUAUAAAGUAAAUUUAAUAAUCAAAUUUAUGAAUUUGGCGGUAUUUUAGAUUAAUCAGGGGGGCUUGUUAAAUAAAUGAUAUUCCACGAUAAGAAAUACUUAAAUAAUAUUUAACUUAUAUAUUUUUGUUUUAAAAAAUUUUUAGGAAAAUAAUUUUAAUUUUUUUUAUAAAAAUUUAAUUCAAAUCAAUAUGUAGUAAUAAUUAAGAUUAAAAUGAGUUAUAAUAAAUUAAUAAUUUGAAUUUUUAUAAUUUUAAUGUUUAAAUAAAAAAGAUUUGAGAGUAAAUUUUAUUAAAUUUAUAAAAUUGAUUUUAAUAUUAAAGUAUGUACAAAUUGCCCGUCAAUUUAAUUUAUUAUUUAAAAGUUUAAUAAAAAAUUAAAUUAUAAAUAUUAAGUAAGUUUUUAUUUAAAAAUUUAAAUUUAAAACAUUAAAAAAAAAUUAAAUAAGUCGUAACAAAGUAAAUGUACUGGAAAGUGUAUUUA